CAGGACGAACGCUGGCGGCAUGCCUAACACAUGCAAGUCGAACGGGGGUAGCAAUACCCUAGUGGCGAACGGGUGAGUAACACAUAAGCAAUCUGCCCUUCACAGGGGGAUAACAGCGGGAAACUGCUGCUAAUACCGCAUAAGACCACAGUACCGCAUGGUACAGGGGUAAAAACGAAUCAGUGGUGAAGGAUGAGCUUAUGUCCCAUUAGCUAGUUGGUGAGAUAACAGCCCACCAAGGCGACGAUGGGUAGCCGACCUGAGAGGGUGAUCGGCCACACUGGAACUGAGACACGGUCCAGACUCCUACGGGAGGCAGCAGUGGGGAAUAUUGGGCAAUGGAAGGAAACUCUUACCCAGCAAUGCCGCGUGAGUGAAGAAGGUCUUCGGAUUGUAAAGCUCUUUGAUUGGGGACGAAGAAAGUGACGGUACCCAAAGAACAAGCCCCGGCUAACUACGUGCCAGCCGCCGC
Molecule: ribosomal RNA, 472 nt
Filed under: uncultured bacterium
Lineage: Bacteria
Description: bacterial SSU rRNA
Rfam family: Bacterial small subunit ribosomal RNA
Source: RNAcentral